This 466-nucleotide ribosomal RNA is filed under the name uncultured bacterium. Its description in RNAcentral is "partial 16S ribosomal RNA". It matches the Rfam family "Bacterial small subunit ribosomal RNA", at positions 28 to 507 of the family's 1533-position model. The record is from RNAcentral.
GACGAACGCUGGCGGCGCGCCUAACACAUGCAAGUCGAACGAGCGAGAGAGAGCUUGCUUUCUCGAGCGAGUGGCGAACGGGUGAGUAACGCGUGAGGAACCUGCCUCUAAGAGGGGGACAACAGUUGGAAACGACUGCUCAUACCGCAUAAGCCCACGGCUCGGCAUCGAGCAGGGGGAAAAGGAGCCAUCCGCUUUGAGAUGGCCUCGCGUCCGAUUAGCUAGUUGGUGUGGUAACGGCCCACCAAGGCGACGAUCGGUAGCCGGACUGAGAGGUUGAACGGCCACAUUGGGACUGAGACACGGCCCAGACUCCUACGGGAGGCAGCAGUGGGGAAUAUUGCACAAUGGGGGAAACCCUGAUGCAGCGACGCCGCGUGAAGGAAGAAGGUCUUCGGAUUGUAAAGCCCUGUUGUUGGGGAAGAUAAUGACGGUACCCAACAAGGAAGUGACGGCUAACUACGUG